GAGUUUGAUCAUGGCUCAGAACGUACGCUGGCGGCACGCCUAACACAUGCAAGUCGAACGAAGUAGCAAUACUUAGUGGCAGACGGGUGAGUAACAUGUGGGUAUCUUCCCUUUGGCCUGGAAUAACACGAGGAAACUUGUGCUAAUACCGGAUAAGUCUUUACGGAGAAAGCUUUAUGCACCAUUGGAUGAGCCUGCACUUGAUUAGUUUGUUGGUAGGGUAAUGGCCUACCAAGACUGUGAUCAAUAGCUGAUUUGAGAGGAUGAUCAGCCACAUUGGGACUGAGACACGGCCCAAACUCCUACGGGAGGCAGCAGUGGGGAAUCUUGCACAAUGGAGGAAACUCUGAUGCAGCGAUGCCGCGUGAGUGAGGAAGGCCCUUGGGUUGUAAAGCUCUUUCGUCGGGGAAGAAAAUGACUGUACCCGAAUAAGAAGGUCCGGCUAACUUCGUGCCAGCAGCCGCGGUAAUACGAAGGGACCUAGCGUAGUUCGGAAUUACUGGGCUUAAAGAGUUCGUAGGUGGUUGAAAAAGUUGGUGGUGAAAUCCCAGAGCUUAACUCUGGAACUGCCAUCAAAACUUUUCAGCUAGAGUUUGAUAGAGGAAAGCAGAAUUUCUAGUGUAGAGGUGAAAUUCGUAGAUAUUAGAAAGAAUACCAAUUGCGAAGGCAGCUUUCUGGAUCAAUACUGACACUGAGGAACGAAAGCAUGGGUAGCGAAGAGGAUUAGAUACCCUCGUAGUCCAUGCCGUAAACGAUGUGUGUUAGACGUUGGAAAUUUAUUUUCAGUGUCGCAGCGAAAGCGAUAAACACACCGCCUGGGGAGUACGACCGCAAGGUUAAAACUCAAAUGAUUUGACGGGGACCCGCACAAGUAGUGGAGCAUGUGGUUUAAUUGGAAGAUACGCGCAGAACCUUACCAACACUUGACAUGUUCGUCGCGACUUUAAGAGAUUAAAGUUUUCGGUUCGGCCGGACGAAACACAGGUGGUGCAUGGCUGUCGUCAGCUCGUGUCGUGAGAUGUUGGGUUAAGUCCCGCAACGAGCGCAACCCUCACUUUUGGUUGCCAUCAUUAAGUUGGGCACUCUGAAAGAACUGCCAGUGAUAAGCUGGAGGAAGGUGGGGAUGACGUCAAGUCCUCAAGGCCCUUACGUGUUGGGCUACACACGUGCUACAAUGGUAUUUACAACAGGAAGCAAGACGGCGACGUUAAGCAAAUCCUUAAAAAAUACCUCAGUUCGGAUUGCACUCUGCAACUCGAGUGCAUGAAGCUGGGAUUACUAGUAAUCGUGGAUCAGCGUGCCACGGUGAAUGCGUUCCCGGGUCUUGUACACACCGCCCGUCACACCAUGGGAGUUGGUUCUACCUUAAGGCAAGGCUUUAAACCCUUGACCACGGUAUAGUCAGCGACUGGGGUGAAGUCGUAACAAGGUAACC
This 1435-nucleotide ribosomal RNA is filed under the name uncultured marine bacterium. RNAcentral's name for it is "bacterial SSU rRNA". It matches the Rfam family "Bacterial small subunit ribosomal RNA". The record is from RNAcentral.